Molecule: long non-coding RNA, 825 nt
Organism: Microcebus murinus (gray mouse lemur)
Lineage: Eukaryota; Metazoa; Chordata; Mammalia; Primates; Cheirogaleidae
Source: RefSeq, a predicted model, not a curated record
CUUCACGCACCUUCAAGUUGGUACCAAAAAAUGGCGGCAUGAACAUAAUGCAAGGAUGGCGUUAUCGGGCCUCUGAUGGCAAAAGUUAAAAAAUCUCCUUGGAGGUGGGCCAGGAGCCAUGAUUUAGAUUCUGAGUUGAUGCCUCCCACUUACAAUACAUUAUUUAGCAAUACAACUACAGGCUUGCUGGUGUUCCCCUGAAGAAGCAUGCAUGGCAAGUCAUGCUUACCAUGGAAAUCCUGUCAGCUCCAUCCUCAACAUGAAUCCAGAAUCUGGCCACGAAUGUACCCAGAGUCCUACUGCUUUGUCACUUCUGCUGUGACUAUCCUGGUUUCAGCCACCAUCACCUCUUGCUGGGAUUAUAGCAAUGUCCUCAUUGCUCCUCCAGCUCUCCUCUUGCACCUCAAAACCUAUUGUCUACACUGCAGUCACAGUGUGUACCACAGUGUAGGUUAGAACAUGUCAGAUUGCAACUCUGCAGUAGCUCCCUUGUCCUCAGGAUGCAGUGCUCCUGAGGUCCCACGUGACCUGGGUCCCUCCAGGCUUGCCUCACUCACUCAUCUCCAGGCACUACUUUUACUCAGGGCCCUUUCACUUUCUCUUUCCUUGUCUGGAACCAGCUCUCCUCAUUAUCUACAUGGUUUACUCCUUAGCUGCUCAGAUAGUAGCAAAGAGUCCUUCCCUAACCCCCAAUGUACCCCUUCCAUAUUCCUCAUCCUCCUCACUGUUGUAGUUUUCAUCAUAGUACAUAUCAUUGCUUUUAUGAUAUUUGCAGAAGAAUGAAACUUUAAGAGGACAGUUUUCUACUUUUAGUUCUUUGAGGUA